RNAcentral lists this ribosomal RNA (371 nucleotides) under uncultured eukaryote. RNAcentral's name for it is "partial 18S ribosomal RNA". It matches the Rfam family "Eukaryotic small subunit ribosomal RNA", at positions 592 to 976 of the family's 1831-position model. The record is from RNAcentral.
CAAUAGCGUAUAUUAAAGUUGUUGCGGUUAAAAAGCUCGUAGUUGGAUUUCUACCAAAGGCAGCCGACCCCGUCAGGGUGUUAGGUAGCCCGCGGUUUUCCUUGGUGGAUGUGUGGCAAUUGGUUUUGCUGCAUUUGCUCCAAGGCUUUUACUUUGAGGAAAUUAGAGUGUUUCAAGCAGGCAUCUGCCUUGAAUACAUUAGCAUGGAAUAAUAGGAUAGGACUUUGGUUCUAUUUUGUUGGUUUCUAGAACCGAAGUAAUGAUUAAUAGGGAUAGUCGGGGGCAUUCGUACUUAACUGUCAGAGGUGGAAUUCUUGGAUUUGUUAAAGACGAACUACUGCGAAAGCAUUUGCCAAGGAUGUUUNCAUUGA